GCUUGCAUGGUCUAAUGGUUAUGACUCCAGAUUCUGAUUCUGGCAGCGGCGGUUCGAUUCCGCCUGUGAGCU
This is a transfer RNA of 72 nucleotides. It matches the Rfam family "tRNA". Rfam says of the family: Transfer RNA (tRNA) molecules are approximately 80 nucleotides in length. The record is from Rfam.